This 262-nucleotide ribosomal RNA is filed under the name uncultured bacterium. RNAcentral's name for it is "partial 16S ribosomal RNA". It matches the Rfam family "Bacterial small subunit ribosomal RNA", at positions 793 to 1055 of the family's 1533-position model. The record is from RNAcentral.
GUCCACGCCGUAAACGUUGGGCACUAGGUGUGGGACUCUAUCGACGGGUUCCGUGCCGUAGCUAACGCAUUAAGUGCCCCGCCUGGGGAGUACGGCCGCAAGGCUAAAACUCAAAGGAAUUGACGGGGGCCCGCACAAGCGGCGGAGCAUGUGGCUUAAUUCGAUGCGACGCGAAGAACCUUACCUGGGUUUGACAUGUAGGGAAAAGCCGUAGAGAUACGGUGUCCUUCGGGCCGUUACACAGGUGGUGCAUGGCUGUCGU